RNAcentral lists this ribosomal RNA (768 nucleotides) under Streptococcus sp. HFH0044. RNAcentral describes it as "bacterial SSU rRNA". It matches the Rfam family "Bacterial small subunit ribosomal RNA", at positions 77 to 831 of the family's 1533-position model. The record is from RNAcentral. Lineage: Bacteria; Bacillati; Bacillota; Bacilli; Lactobacillales; Streptococcaceae.
AGCUUGCUCUUCUUGGAUGAGUUGCGAACGGGUGAGUAACGCGUAGGUAACCUGCCUUGUAGCGGGGGAUAACUAUUGGAAACGAUAGCUAAUACCGCAUAACAAUGGAUGACACAUGUCAUUUAUUUGAAAGGGGCAAUUGCUCCACUACAAGAUGGACCUGCGUUGUAUUAGCUAGUAGGUGAGGUAACGGCUCACCUAGGCGACGAUACAUAGCCGACCUGAGAGGGUGAUCGGCCACACUGGGACUGAGACACGGCCCAGACUCCUACGGGAGGCAGCAGUAGGGAAUCUUCGGCAAUGGGGGCAACCCUGACCGAGCAACGCCGCGUGAGUGAAGAAGGUUUUCGGAUCGUAAAGCUCUGUUGUAAGUCAAGAACGAGUGUGAGAGUGGAAAGUUCACACUGUGACGGUAGCUUACCAGAAAGGGACGGCUAACUACGUGCCAGCAGCCGCGGUAAUACGUAGGUCCCGAGCGUUGUCCGGAUUUAUUGGGCGUAAAGCGAGCGCAGGCGGUUUGAUAAGUCUGAAGUUAAAGGCUGUGGCUCAACCAUAGUUCGCUUUGGAAACUGUCAAACUUGAGUGCAGAAGGGGAGAGUGGAAUUCCAUGUGUAGCGGUGAAAUGCGUAGAUAUAUGGAGGAACACCGGUGGCGAAAGCGGCUCUCUGGUCUGUAACUGACGCUGAGGCUCGAAAGCGUGGGGAGCGAACAGGAUUAGAUACCCUGGUAGUCCACGCCGUAAACGAUGAGUGCUAGGUGUUGGAUCCU